This 71-nucleotide transfer RNA is filed under the name Loxodonta africana (African savanna elephant). It matches the Rfam family "tRNA". From Rfam's summary of the family: Transfer RNA (tRNA) molecules are approximately 80 nucleotides in length. Their secondary structure includes four short double-helical elements and three loops (D, anti-codon, and T loops). Lineage: Eukaryota; Metazoa; Chordata; Mammalia; Proboscidea; Elephantidae. The record is from Rfam by way of RNAcentral.
UCCCUGGUGGACCAAUGGUUAGGCACUUGGCUGCUAACCAGAAGGUUGUUGGUUCAAACCUACCCAGUGGC